CUGAGAAUUGGGACUUAGAAAUAAGCCAGUCCGAGAUGAAAAAAAAUACCAGCAUCGGGGUGGUAACUCCAAAAACGAAAACCGAAGACUGGGAAGCUGAAAUUGCGGUGGCGAAACGUCCUCCAUUCUUUCUCAGCGUGGGCAAAAUAACACAGCGACGUAUAAACCGAAUGCACCGAUGCUGGACCUGUCACUGCGUGCCUGUCAAUUGUCGAUGUGCAAAAUAUUGAAUAAACUUGUUGAAACGUUAA
Long non-coding RNA from Dreissena polymorpha, 251 nucleotides. RefSeq lists it as uncharacterized. Lineage: Eukaryota; Metazoa; Mollusca; Bivalvia; Myida; Dreissenidae. The record is from RefSeq and is a predicted model, not a curated record. The transcript has 2 exons.